Molecule: long non-coding RNA, 1510 nt
Organism: Magnolia sinica
Lineage: Eukaryota; Viridiplantae; Streptophyta; Magnoliopsida; Magnoliales; Magnoliaceae
Exons: 3
Source: RefSeq, a predicted model, not a curated record
GCCUCAAAUUCAGAUUGUUUGGGAAGUUGUAAGUUUUAACCUCUGGUUAAUGGAAUUUUAUUCUUUGAAUUUGCUUCAUUCCUUAAUUUUCAUUUUAGAGUCCAUUUGACAAUCACCAAUCAGAUGGUUUCAUUCAGCGUAAUAUUUGAAUCAUGCAACAUCUAGAACUAGGCCUAGGAUUGGAAGCUUUGGAUAGAGGUGCAUGCAACAUCUAGAACUAGGCCUAGGAUUAGAAGCUUUGGAUAGAGGUGCAUGCAACAUCUAGAACUAGGCCUAGGAUUGGAAGCUUUGGAUAGAGGUGCAUGUGUUUGCUGCAUGUACAGUGGUUGCAUGCACAAAUGAUGGAUCAUCAGAUGUAUCGAAUAUCUCCUCCAAUUCAAUUAUGUGACUAAUUUUAUCUUCCUUGUUGUAAUAUCAUACGAGUAAUCUUCUUCUUCUUCUUCUUCUUCUUUUUUCUUUGGAAAGAUAAACUAUCUUCUAUUAAGAAACUAAAAUAGGAGUACAACAAGAUAUUAGUCCAGCUAGCAUCGCCUAAAACUAACUUUUAUUAAGGAACUAAAAUAAGACUACAACAGGACAUUAAUCCAGAUUCCAGCCAUUAUCAUCUAGGCCAGGCUAACAUAAACACCUUACACCCAACAAACAUGUAUCACCUAGGUAUCUAUGAGAUCAAACACCAUAGUGUCUUGAUACUUCUUGUUUGGCAUAUAUGUCUGGUAUAUCAUUGUCAUCUCUGCCCGCAUGGGAAAACACUAUUUGAUCCAUUACAUAGAUCCCUAUAACGUUUUUUUUGUUUGUUUACAUAUGUUUAAUAUUGCUUGUCCUAGCAUUUUCCUUUCAAAUAUUUACUGUAUUAUGCACUGACAAGGUGACCCGAGUACCCCUGUCUGUAAUUGUGGGGGAUACUUGUCUGAAAUCUGGUUACUGUGCAUGUUUGAUGUUAAUAUUGGCAUCCACUAGAUGUGAAUAUUGUUCUGGUGCCUAUGGUACUGGAAGACUUUUUGUAAGCUACAACUAUUCUGAAAUAGAUCACAACUGUUGAUGACUGUAUUUGCAAAGAUUAGCUUCUGAUUUUCUUUCUUGCUGUUGGAAGGGUUGGCUCAAGUACUGAUUUGAGCAUUAUCCUUUGCUUAUUUCCUUCCAAUUCAUAUAAUGAAGCAAAGGGGGUGAACAAGAAAAAGAUGAAACUUGUUGGGAAGGAAAUUAGGUUUUGGUUUUGUAAAUGCUUAUUGCACUAAGAAAACUAAAACCGUUGUCAAGAAAGUCACUAGCACAUCCCUAUCUAAUGGCUCAGAUAUUGAUGAUGCAAGGGAGUUGCUACUCCUGAGAAGAUCAGAGAACUGAUAAAGGUCGAGGGGCAGACCAACAAUGAAGUAGAGAGUCACUUGCAUGUGGGUUUUCGAUCUCGAUCUUGAAUUUUUAUUUUUUUUCCCUUCUUUGUUUUUGGUUCUUGGGAUAUUGAUGAUGGGUGGGUUGUAGCUUGUGGUACCAUCUUGGCACUUUUUUCUUU